GGGUUUGAUCCUGGCCCAGGAUGAACGCUGGCGGCGUGCCUUAGGCAUGCAAGUGGAACGAUCCUUAGAGUAAUCGAAGGAAAGUCGCGAACGGCUGAGUAUAUAGUAGGAAUCUACCCUUUGGCGGGGAAUACCCCCGAGAAAUCGGGGCUAAUACCGCAUGACCUCGUGAGAGAAAAGGGCGUAACUGCCCGCCGAAGGAGGAGCCUACUUCCCAUCAGCUUGUUGGUAGGGUAACGGCCUACCAAGGCUACGACGGGUAGGGGGCGUGAGAGCGUGACCCCCCAGAAUGGCACUGAGAUACGGGCCAUACACCUACGGGUGGCAGCAACCGGGAAUCGUGCGCAAUGGACGAAAGUCUGACGCCGCGACGCCGCGUGAGGGAUUGAAGGCGCUUGUCGUCGUAAACCUCUUUUGACCUGAGAGAGAUCGAAGGUAGAAUAAGCACUCGCUAACUACGUGCCAGCAGCUGCGGUAAUACGUAGAGUGCAAGCGUUAUCCGGAUUUAUUGGGCGUAAAGCGUUUCGUAGGCUGUUAACUAAGUUUCACUUCAAAGACCGGAGCUCAACUUCGGGAAGGGGUGAAAUACUAUUUGACUUGAAAUACUCCGGGGUUACUGGAACUGUCGGUGUAGGGGUGAAAUCCGUUGAUAUCGACAGGAACUCCAAGGGCGAAGGCAGGUAACUAGGAGAUAUUUGACGCUGAGGAACGACAGCUAGGGGAGCGAAAGGGAUUAGAGACCCCUGUAGUCCUAGCCGUAAACGAUGCUCGCUAGCUCGCCGAGUUUGACUUGGUGGGCGUAAGCUAACGCGUGAAGCGAGCCGCCUGGGGAGUACGAACGCAAGUUUAAAACUCAAAGGAAUUGACGGGGACCUGCACAACCAGUGGAGCAUGUGGUUUAAUUCGAAACAAACCGAAGAACCUUACCCGGGUUUGACAUCCAGCACUUAAUGCCUAUGUAGAAAUACUGUAGGAAUCGUAAUUUAUUAUGAAGUGCCGGACAGGUGUUGCAUGGCUGUCGUCAGCUCGUGCCGUGGGGUGUUCCCUUCAGUGGGGUAACGAGCGCAACCCCCGUCUCGUGUUGAAUAUUCACGAGAGACUUUCGACCUUUUGGUUGAAGGAAGUGGGGACGACGUCAAGUCAGCAUGGCCCUUAUAUCCGGGGCGACACACAUGCUACAAUGGAGCCGACAAUGGGUUGCCAAGCCGUAAGGCGGAGCUAAUCCCAUCAAACGGCUUCUCAGUGGGGAUUGAGGGCUGCAACUCGCCCUCAUGAACGCGGAAUUGGUAGUAAUCGCGGAUCAGCUAUGCCGCGGUGAAUACGUUCUCGGGUCUUGUACACACCGCCCUUUAAUACAUACAUCGUAUUUUACGAAGUAUAGUAAUAUAGGAAUAGGUAAGAACGCGCCUUGCAGUCAUAUCUUCUAGU
Molecule: ribosomal RNA, 1428 nt
Filed under: Candidatus Woesebacteria bacterium RIFCSPLOWO2_01_FULL_42_67
Lineage: Bacteria; Candidatus Woeseibacteriota
Description: bacterial SSU rRNA
Rfam family: Bacterial small subunit ribosomal RNA
Source: RNAcentral